GCCUUUGUGGUGUAGUGGUCAGCACGCUUGGUGCAUAUCCGAGAGGUCCAUGGUUCGAGUCCUUGUGAGGGCA
This is a non-coding RNA of Stegodyphus mimosarum, 73 nucleotides long. NCBI's taxonomy places the organism in Eukaryota, Metazoa, Arthropoda, Arachnida, Araneae, Eresidae. The record is from Rfam.